RNAcentral lists this long non-coding RNA (1727 nucleotides) under Macaca mulatta (Rhesus monkey). RNAcentral's name for it is "lncRNA (ENSMMUG00000058117.1)". Lineage: Eukaryota; Metazoa; Chordata; Mammalia; Primates; Cercopithecidae. The record is from RNAcentral.
GGGUGAGGCAGGGGUGGGGCUCCUUCAGUAGCUCAGUCCAGUGCGCAGCCCUGCAAGGGUCCUCCUGUGCAGGAGUACACAAUGCGGCCGGAGUCCUACUGUGCCUUAGUCCAGGACGCCGGGUGCUGGGUCCUCCGGUGCCGUUGUCCAGGGCCCGGGGAGCUGGGUUCUCUGAUGCCGUAGUCCAGGGCGCGGCGGAACAGGAGUCCCGUGGCGCAGUAGUCCAGGGCGCGCUGGACUGUGGAUCCUCAGGUGUCACAGUGCAGAGCGCCACAGGGCGGAAUUCCUGCCUUGCUAUAUCCAGGGUGCAGCCGAGCGGGGGUUCUCUUGUGCAGGAGUCCAGGAUGGGACUGUGAAGGAGCGGGAGUCCUCCGUGUAGGAGUCCUGGGGUGUAGGAGGCCAGAGCGCAGUGAGGCUGGGUACUCUCAUGCCAUAGAGUAGGGCAUGGCGGGACAGGGAUCCUGCCCUGAGAUAGUCCAGUGCUUGAGUCCACAGUAAUGCAAUGGUCCUCCAAUACUGGAGUUCACGGCCUGGUGGGGUCGGGGUCAUUGCCUGACUUAGUUCAGGGCAUACCAGGGCGGGGGUCCACAGUUGCCACAGUGAGGACCUCCGAGGAGUGUGGUUCCUGCCUUGCUGUAGUCGGGGGAACAGGGGGCAGGAGUCCUCUCUUGUCAGAGUCUCUGGCACGGUGGGGCUGGGGGUUUUCCUAUUCGAUAGCCCACGGGGCGGUGAGGCUGGGUCCUCCUGUGCCUUUGUCCAGGGCGCAGGGGGGCCAGGGUCUUCGGUGGUGCAGUCCGUGGAGCGACGGGAUUGGGGUCCUCCAGUGCUGGAAUACAGCCCAUGACGGGGGUCCAUGGAGCCACCGGUCGGGGUCCUCCCGUGUUUUAGCCUAGGGCUGGGAGAGGACGGGGUCCUCCUUUGCCCUAGUCCACGGCAUUGUGAGGCCCGGCUCCUGAACACUUACUGUCUGUGCCACUACCGCCGCGGGGGAAAACUACACCAUCUCAGGCAAGCCUAACAGAGCAGCUGUCCUUAAAAGAUUCCCAGUUGAGCGUGGCUUGGAGCAGGCCUGAGAAGUGUGCCCUUAGAUGGCUUCAAGGGCUCUGAGCAGUGUUUAAGGAAUCCAGCUGACCUCAGUUACUCCAAGCCCUUUUCCACUCAGCAGAACUUCUCGCCAGGGGGUCCCCCAUCUGCGGAGCCCUUUCAUCAUACCAGAUCCCCACAGGGUGGACUCCCUCUCAUCCUCACGAUCUCAGCUCAGGCCUCAUUCAUCACCACAUUCCUGGCACCAGGUCUGGCCCAGAAGAAAUGGGUCAGAUUAAGAGCUCAAUGUGUUCCCAUGGUCACUUUUCUUCAGCCCUCCUUUCUUUGUGCCAACAUCUAUCUUUGGGUUUCUGGAUAAAGUUUUCAGCAGCUGCAUGCAGCUCCAUUUUUCUUACCAGGUAAGAGACUGUGCUUGAGUCUGCAGUAAGGCAAUGUUCCUCCAAUGCUGGGGGACUCCAAAAGUCUUCCUGAAAACAAAGGCACAAUGCUUGUGACCAGAGAACUCCCUGUCCUCUCCCUGCAUAGGAAAACUGGACUUCUCCGGAAGGCUCUAGUUCCUGGCAAAUCUCUAGGGCCACUUAAUUGCGCUGUCCCCCACCUUUGCUUCUGGUUCUGAAGGGACUGAAGUUGGGAAUCCUUUCUAAGUCUCUACACACGGAGCCCUUCUUUUGUGGGAAUGUUUU